This 239-nucleotide long non-coding RNA is filed under the name Brassica napus (rape). RNAcentral describes it as "long non-coding RNA (BNAP_LNC019621)". The record is from RNAcentral. Lineage: Eukaryota; Viridiplantae; Streptophyta; Magnoliopsida; Brassicales; Brassicaceae.
GGGUGAAUAGGAAAAAUGAAAAUUCCAAAAAAAAUCAUAGGUUAGUUUUGUGAUUGACUUUGAGUUUUGGGUCAAUUUUGCAAAAAAACCCUUAAAAUAAACAUAGGUUGGGUAUUAAAAUGGGCACAAUUAGUGUAUUAAAAUGAAGAAAAUAAAUUGUUUAGGUAUGAAAUUGAGUAGUGAAGAAAAAAUGGUUAUUAAAAAGCUUAAUGAAAUUUAGUUGGGGUAUGUUAUAGAAU